RNAcentral lists this ribosomal RNA (167 nucleotides) under Sida rhombifolia. Its description in RNAcentral is "5.8S ribosomal RNA". It matches the Rfam family "5.8S ribosomal RNA". From Rfam's summary of the family: 5.8S ribosomal RNA (5.8S rRNA) is a component of the large subunit of the eukaryotic ribosome. It is transcribed by RNA polymerase I as part of the 45S precursor that also contains 18S and 28S rRNA. Functionally, it is thought that 5.8S rRNA may be involved in ribosome translocation. Lineage: Eukaryota; Viridiplantae; Streptophyta; Magnoliopsida; Malvales; Malvaceae. The record is from RNAcentral.
CAAAACGACUCUCGGCAACGGAUAUCUCGGCUCUCGCAUCGAUGAAGAACGUAACGAAAUGCGAUACUUGGUGUGAAUUGCAGAAUCCCGUGAACCAUCGAGUCUUUGAACSCAAGUUGCSCCCCAAGCCAUUAGGCCGAGGGCACGUCUGCCUGGGUGUCACGCAU